CAUGCAAGUCGAGCGGUAGCACAGAGAGCUUGCUCUCGGGUGACGAGCGGCGGACGGGUGAGUAAUGUCUGGGAAACUGCCUGAUGGAGGGGGAUAACUACUGGAAACGGUAGCUAAUACCGCAUAAUGUCGCAAGACCAAAGUGGGGGACCUUCGGGCCUCAUGCCAUCAGAUGUGCCCAGAUGGGAUUAGCUAGUAGGUGGGGUAACGGCUCACCUAGGCGACGAUCCCUAGCUGGUCUGAGAGGAUGACCAGCCACACUGGAACUGAGACACGGUCCAGACUCCUACGGGAGGCAGCAGUGGGGAAUAUUGCACAAUGGGCGCAAGCCUGAUGCAGCCAUGCCGCGUGUGUGAAGAAGGCCUUCGGGUUGUAAAGCACUUUCAGCGGGGAGGAAGGCGGUGAGGUUAAUAACCUUGUCGAUUGACGUUACCCGCAGAAGAAGCACCGGCUAACUCCGUGCCAGCAGCCGCGGUAAUACGGAGGGUGCAAGCGUUAAUCGGAAUUACUGGGCGUAAAGCGCACGCAGGCGGUCUGUCAAGUCGGAUGUGAAAUCCCCGGGCUCAACSUGGGAACUGCAUUCGAAACUGGCAGGCUAGAGUCUUGUAGAGGGGGGUAGAAUUCCAGGUGUAGCGGUGAAAUGCGUAGAGAUCUGGAGGAAUACCGGUGGCGAAGGCGGCCCCCUGGACAAAGACUGACGCUCAGGUGCGAAAGCGUGGGGAGCAAACAGGAUUAGAUACCCUGGUAGUCCACGCCGUAAACGAUGUCGAUUUGGAGGUUGUGCCCUUGAGGCGUGGCUUCCGGAGCUAACGCGUUAAAUCGACCGCCUGGGGAGUACGGCCGCAAGGUUAAAACUCAAAUGAAUUGACGGGGGCCCGCACAAGCGGUGGAGCAUGUGGUUUAAUUCGAUGCAACGCGAAGAACCUUACCUGGUCUUGACAUCCACAGAACUUUCCAGAGAUGGAUUGGUGCCUUCGGGAACUGUGAGACAGGUGCUGCAUGGCUGUCGUCAGCUCGUGUUGUGAAAUGUUGGGUUAAGUCCCGCAACGAGCGCAACCCUUAUCCUUUGUUGCCAGCGGUUAGGCCGGGAACUCAAAGGAGACUGCCAGUGAUAAACUGGAGGAAGGUGGGGAUGACGUCAAGUCAUCAUGGCCCUUACGACCAGGGCUACACACGUGCUACAAUGGCAUAUACAAAGAGAAGCGACCUCGCGAGAGCAAGCGGACCUCAUAAAGUAUGUCGUAGUCCGGAUUGGAGUCUGCAACUCGACUCCAUGAAGUCGGAAUCGCUAGUAAUCGUAGAUCAGAAUGCUACGGUGAAUACGUUCCCGGGCCUUGUACACACCGCCCGUCACACCAUGGGAGUGGGUUGCAAAAGAAGUAGGUAGCUUAACCUUCGGGAGGGCGCUACC
RNAcentral lists this ribosomal RNA (1411 nucleotides) under Klebsiella pneumoniae. Its description in RNAcentral is "16S ribosomal RNA". It matches the Rfam family "Bacterial small subunit ribosomal RNA". Lineage: Bacteria; Pseudomonadati; Pseudomonadota; Gammaproteobacteria; Enterobacterales; Enterobacteriaceae. The record is from RNAcentral.